RNAcentral lists this ribosomal RNA (497 nucleotides) under uncultured bacterium. Its description in RNAcentral is "partial 16S ribosomal RNA". It matches the Rfam family "Bacterial small subunit ribosomal RNA", at positions 28 to 507 of the family's 1533-position model. The record is from RNAcentral.
GAUUAACGCUGGCGGCGUGCCUAAUACAUGCAAGUCGAGCGGACGGACGAGAAGCUUGCUUCUCUGAUGUUAGCGGCGGACGGGUGAGUAACACGUGGAUAACCUACCUAUAAGACUGGGAUAACUUCGGGAAACCGGAGCUAAUACCGGAUGAUAUUUUGAACCGCAUGGUUCAAAAGUGAAAGACGGUCUUGCUGUCACUUAUAGAUGGAUCCGCGCUGCAUUAGCUAGUUGGUAAGGUAACGGCUUACCAAGGCAACGAUGCAUAGCCGACCUGAGAGGGUGAUCGGCCACACUGGAACUGAGACACGGUCCAGACUCCUACGGGAGGCAGCAGUAGGGAAUCUUCCGCAAUGGGCGAAAGCCUGACGGAGCAACGCCGCGUGAGUGAUGAAGGUCUUCGGAUCGUAAAACUCUGUUAUUAGGGAAGAACAUAUGUGUAAGUAACUGUGCACAUCUUGACGGUACCUAAUCAGAAAGCCACGGCUAACUACGUG